Molecule: ribosomal RNA, 391 nt
Filed under: Pollimyrus petricolus
Lineage: Eukaryota; Metazoa; Chordata; Actinopteri; Osteoglossiformes; Mormyridae
Description: partial 12S ribosomal RNA
Rfam family: Bacterial small subunit ribosomal RNA
Source: RNAcentral
GCCCAGCCAUAAACCUUGAUGAUAAAGCACAAAUAUCAUCCGCCAGGGAACUACAAGCGCAUUGCUCGAAACCCAACGGACUUGGCGGUGCCCCACACCCACCUAGAGGAGCCUGUUCUAUAACUGACAAUCCCCGUUCAACCUCACCACCCCUAGCCUCUUCAGUCUAUAUACCACCGUCGUAAGCUCACCCUGUGAAGGAUUAACAGUAAGCAAGAUGGGCAAAACCCAAAACGUCAGGUCGAGGUGUAGCAUAUGGAGUGGGAAGAAAUGGGCUACAUUUUCUGAAUACAGAAUAUUACGGACAACGUCAUGAAACCUGCCGUUCAAAGGAGGAUUUAGCAGUAAAAAGAAAACAGAGAGUUCUUUUGAAGCCGGCCCUGGGGCGCGC